CCCUCAACACCGUCGGUCCACUAUAGGUCACCGCACCGCCAGCCGUCGUCGGUGCUGGUAGUAGCUUACAACCACAAUAACGCAACCAUUGGAUGCACAAUGACAUGCUAAGCACGAAUAUGGCAGCGAAUUUGGGAAACAGUCACGAAAUUGGUCGAGUCGAGCCUAAACGAUGGAAGAAUCCUAGGUCUCUAACCUUAAAUUAAAUGGAGUUUAUCACGAAUUGAUCUCUAAUAUCAUAGGGCUUUCACUCCCUUGCCUCAAAGCUAUGCUCUAUUACGCUAAAUUCAAGAAAAUAUUACAGAAGAUAUAUGGACGUACCGGAGAAGACGAUCAGAAACUUCAACAGGUUGCCCCCUUAAGUUUGCUUUGAGUGGUGACCUAUUGUAACAGGACUUUGUUGGAUGUUAUGGUCAUGACUGUUGCACCAUUAGACUCGAGCUGCAGAUAGCUUGCAAGUGAAUGACUUUUGCAGGCAAGGUAAUGUCAAUGCUUAUUGCUGCAGAUGAUUACUGUUGAUGAUGAUGACCUGGUAUGCCAAUGCACUCCAUGCUGGUUUAUGUGUUCAUCAAUGCUAUCUUUGUCAUGCUGCCCACUAUGUUGUUGUUUGCAGGUCUAGUAUUUGCUUUGCACCUUGGUGUCAUGGUGUAGCAUUCAUUGUGGAUAACCCUCCAUUUUGAACUCAAUAUGGUGUCACACCUUGAUGUUGGUAAGGAUUCUGUUAGGUUCAAAUGUUUCAAUGUUGGAGUGGUUUUGGUUGUGUAUGCUACAACUAGAUGUGACUUGCAUAUGGUUUUGAUUUGUGUCAUACUUUGGCUAGGUCUGAGCAAGCUGCUGACUUGACUCAAUGUUUUUAUGGUGCAAACUGUUAUGCACUUUGCACGUAUUGUUCUGUCUUGCAGCAGGGUGGCCAUUUCCAUUCUUAAUUUGGUUCAGUGUUGGCUUAGGCAAUGCUGUAAUUUGCAGGUUCAUAAGGUGCAGAACAACACAUAAAAUGACAUUGAUGUAGUACAAAUCAUGAUUGGAGCCAUGUUGAGGUACAUCUCAAGGAUUAUGGUGUAUAGUUGAUUCAACCUUGGCUUGUGCAUGAUGGCAUGGUAGAGAGAAUAUUGAUAUUAUUGACUUGUGAGCAUGUUCAGUUAGGUCUCAAUGUUGCUGAACUCCCAAGAUUUUAUAGCAGUGUUUACAUGUUGACUGUGUUGUAGCCUUGCAUAGCAAAAUGUACCACAGGUCUGAUAUCUUGGUUUGCCUUGGAAAUGGUCUUGUUGGUACAGUUGCCUGCAAUGCAUUCUGCAGGUCCGAGCUUGUGUCACGGGGGCCUGUUGACCAAUGUGUGGAUGGUUGUGCAGCAUUGCAUCUUGGUAGCAUGUAGUUGUCUUGGCUAUCUCCCAACUUAUUGCAUUAUAGCCUUGCAAUUUUUGAUUUUUGUGGGCUACUACCGGAUGAUGACAGGGUGCAAGUGUAAGGUGUAUCAUGGUGAGUUCAAAGCCAACUUCAUACGCAUUGCUUUGUCAAAUUAACCAAGCAUGUACCAUAUUUGAUCAUGUGUUUAGGAUGUUUGGUCUUGUGGUGAAUGCAAGGCCCGUGCAGUAGGGUGAAAGUUGGUUGUUAAGGCAAAUAAAUCCAAGUGUUCAAGUUAUGACCAAGUUCAAAACAUGUUGGCAUCAAAGUGAAGAAUCAAGUUCAAAUGGUUAAAUCAAGAUCAACAUGGACAUGGAGAAUGAAAUGAGAGUUAGGACUAGUCAUUUAGUGAUCAGGGAUGACCAAGGACCAUAGGUUGACUUUGGUCAAAGUUGACCAAAAAGUCAACAAUUCAUUUUUCCUUGUAUUUUUCAAUGGAUUGAUGAUCAUGGUGAAAUUUAGGAUAUUAGGGUCUUGGGUUGACUUUGGUCAAAGUUGACCAAAAAGUCAAUUGUUGACCAAAGUCAACUAUUGGUCAAGAUGUCAAAUUUUGUAUUUUCUUGUGUGGAAUCACAUGUAAUGGUUUAAAAUGACAUGGAAUAGAUUGAA
Long non-coding RNA from Lathyrus oleraceus (garden pea), 2010 nucleotides. RefSeq lists it as uncharacterized. The record is from RefSeq and is a predicted model, not a curated record. The transcript has 4 exons. Lineage: Eukaryota; Viridiplantae; Streptophyta; Magnoliopsida; Fabales; Fabaceae.